Molecule: ribosomal RNA, 459 nt
Filed under: uncultured bacterium
Lineage: Bacteria
Description: partial 16S ribosomal RNA
Rfam family: Bacterial small subunit ribosomal RNA
Source: RNAcentral
CCUACGGGGGGCAGCAGUGAGGAAUAUUGGUCAAUGGCCGGAAGGUUGAACCAGCCAAGCCGCGUGAAGGACGAAGGUGCCAAGCAUUGUAAACUUCUUUUGUCAAGGGACAAAACCAGGCUCGAGAGCCUGACCGAGGGUACUUGAAGAAAAAGCAUCGGCUAACUCCGUGCCAGCAGCCGCGGUAAUACGGAGGAUGCGAGCGUUAUCCGGAUUUAUUGGGGUUAAAGGGGGCGUAGGCGGGCUGUGAAGUCAGCGGUAAAAGGCCGGGGCUCAACCCCUGCGAGCCGUUGAAACUGUCUGUCUUGAGAUGUCGAGAGGUAUGCGGAAUGCGCAGUGUAGCGGUGAAAUGCUUAGAUAUUGCGCAGAACUCCGAUUGCGAAGGAAGCAUACCGGCGGCGAACUGACGCUGAGGCACGAAAGCGUGGGUAUCGAACAGGAUUAGAUACCCGUGUAGUC